GGAGGCUGCAGCAACGGAUAUUGGGCAAUGAGCGAAAGCUUGACCCAGCAAUGCCGCGUGCAGGAGGAAGCCCCUCGGGGUGUAAACUGCUGUCAGGGUAUAAGAAGUUCUGACCAAACCCAAAGGAAGGGCCGGCUAACUUCGUGCCAGCAGCCGCGGUAAUACGAAGGGCCCACGCGUUAAUCGGAAUCACUGGGCUUAUAGGGUGCGCAGGCGGAAUGGUCAGUGUCUUGUGAUAUCCCACGGCUCAUCCGUGGAACUGCACGGCAUACUGCCAUUCUUGAGGCCGGUAGAGGCCGCCGGAACUCUAGGUGUAGCGGUGAAAUGCGUAGAUAUCUAGAGGAACGCCAAAGACGAAGGUAGGCGGCUGGGCCGGUUCUGACGCUCAGGCACGAAAGCGUGGGGAGCAAACAGGAUUAGAUACCCUGGUAGUCCACGCCGUAAACGUUGUGCACUAGGUGCUGGAGGUUCUGACACCAUCAGCGCCGAAGCGAAAGUGAUUAGUGCACCGCCUGGGGAGUACGGUCGCAAGGCUAAAACUCAAAGGAAUUGACGGGGGCUCACACAAGCGGUGGAGCAUGUGGCUUAAUUCGAGGCAACGCGAAGAACCUUAUCCUGGGCUUGACAUGCAUGGAUUAACGCUGGGAAACCAGCGCCACACUCUUUGAGUGGAACAUGCACAGGUGCUGCAUGGCUGUCGUCAGCUCGUGCUGUGAAGUGUUGGGUUAAGUCCCUUAACGAGCGAAACCCCUGUCGCUAGUUACCAUCAGGUAAUGCUGGGGACUCUAGCGAGACUGCCGGUGUCAAACCGGAGGAAGGCGGGGAUGACGUCAAGUCCUCAUGGCCUUUAUGCCCAGGGCUGCACACGUGCUACAAUGGCGCCGACAGAGCGAAGCAAAACCGCGAGGUAGAGCAAAUUGCAAAAAAGGUGCCCCAGUUCGGAUUGCAGUCUGCAACUCGACUGCAUGAAGCCGGAAUCGCUAGUAAUCGCGUAUCAGCAACGACGCGGUGAUACGUUCCUGAGCCUUGUACACACCGCCCGUCAAGUCAUGGAAGCCGGGAGUACCCGAAGUCGCACCGAUUC
Molecule: ribosomal RNA, 1084 nt
Filed under: uncultured organism
Description: bacterial SSU rRNA
Rfam family: Bacterial small subunit ribosomal RNA
Source: RNAcentral